GGCUCUUCCGUAGAGUUUGCAGCCAGGGGCCGGCCCCGCUUGCAUUUCGCUUACCCGCCUCCAUAAACUGCUUUGGCUCCUGGUCUCGCAUCUCCCUGUGGCUCCCCGCAGAUUCCGCCCGGCCUUCCCUUCCUCCCGCAGCCACGCCCCGGCUUGGCUUCCAGCAGCCGUGGCAGCGCUGGCGUUUAGCCGUUGCCCAGAGACGACGCCCGAGAGGCGGUUUAGCUGACCACCUGGCGGGCAGCCGGCGCUCCUCUCCAGGAAGCAGGCGGUUCUCGAGCUCUCGCCGAGCGGACCGGUGAGGUGGCCGGGUCUCCAGGAGCAGCGUGUCCCGGUUCCGCGCCAGCCCCGGCUGGCAAGAGGCAGCCGGUGUCCCCGGAGGAGAAGCCCAACCCGCUGCAGGACGCGAACCUCUGCUCGCGCGCGUUUGUCUGGAGUCUUUCAAGGGAAGUUCUUCAAGUUCUUGCUGUUGGAGAUGAUGCAUGUGAAACAGUUGGUGAUGGACAGGGAGGCCUGGCAUGCUGCAGUUCAUGGGGUUGCAAAGAGUCGGACACGACUGAGCAACUGAACUGAACUUGGGUAUUUGCUUUCUUCCCAAAUUUCAUCUGCUUUCGAAACUUGUAAAUGAUGCCAGUAACUAACUUACUGACU
Bos grunniens (domestic yak) is the source of this 651-nucleotide long non-coding RNA. The record is from Ensembl. Lineage: Eukaryota; Metazoa; Chordata; Mammalia; Artiodactyla; Bovidae.